Molecule: long non-coding RNA, 880 nt
Organism: Mytilus californianus (California mussel)
Lineage: Eukaryota; Metazoa; Mollusca; Bivalvia; Mytilida; Mytilidae
Exons: 3
Source: RefSeq, a predicted model, not a curated record
UUGACCUUUGACCUUGUGACCUUUGUCAAGGUCAUUGGUCCCAAAUGUCAUUGUUGAAGACCCCACGGAUCUAGGACCUUUGGUUAUAUAGUAAAAGCUGAUUUUGUCUUUUCAGAAACCUAAAACAGGGGUUAUGCCCUUACAGAAAGGUCAAAUCUCUUCGGUCAAAAUGUAACAAAGUUGCGCCUUAAUGACCUAAACAUUUUCCACUAUACAAAACUACUGUAAGUAUAAUGGUUUCUGAGAUUAUCCCAUAACAAGGUGUAAGGUCAAAGGUCAAGGUCAACAUACAAAUUUGACCUUGAGGCAUUUUCAAAGUCACAUGAAUUGAUGAUGAUUGGUGAAGAUCCUAUGUGUUUACGACUUACGGUUUCUGAGUAUUGGUGGCCAACCGACACCGGUUAAUUUUCAAAGGGGCAUAACCCUACCAAUGAGUCGUUGAAUCUUUUCGAUCCAAAUGUAACGAAGAACCAGAGUCUGGUCCUGAACAAAUUUCACCCUUUGCUUUUUUUCUACCUAUUACGGUUACGGUGUUUGAAUGAUAACAAGGUUUUUAGGUUUCGGAGGGAUAACUCCGGACCGACAAAAUUUUACGACUCACAGGGUGAGUUCCAGAUAGAUAUUUGUGACACCGAUACAAAGUGUGAACCUGAAAGCGACAUGGCUUACGGUUACGGAGGGAAAUUUUGUCAAAGUUUGGCGGAACAAAAAGAAUAAUAAUUAAAAUGUCAAUUGUUCUUGAACAAUUGAGAGGUCUUUCCUUUUGUAAUGUAAAAUACAUGUUCCAAUAGACGUAGAAUGUAUUGAAAAGUUCUAAAACACACAAAAAACCGUUAAAAUAUGAUAAAAAUCAACAAAUUCGCUUUUUAGGAGAUGACCU